GAUCUCACUAAGUCAUUAAGUUGCUUACCCUGGGCUUCAACUUGGGAUUCUCCUGCCUCAGCCUCCCUGAGAUUCAGACAUGCAACACUAUUCACUGACAGUCUUAACAGAUGCUUAUUUGGGUUGAUGAGAUUAAUAAAGAGUUCGUUCCUCAGCUACCAGCACUUCUAAGUGGUUCACAUGUUGAUGAAUUGAUCAGAAGUCUCUCUGAAGAGGCUGAUUUUUAAACCAAAGCCCAACUUAUUUAUAAAGGAAGAUCCAUCUAACCUAAUGUGUACCUGAUUAUAAUGCUAUACAGGAUAAUCUGUAAAAUAAAAACGCUAAAAUACCAAGAAAAGAACAUAUGGGAAUAGGGUGUAAAAGAGAAGUCAAGAUAGAAGAUGAAUUUGAGAGUUAUAUGUGUGGAGAAUUAGGAGAACAAAUCAAUUGCCAUUGCCAUGGUGAAAUGAAGAGACAGCUGAAAUCCUAGACUACAGGGGUACAUGUAGAAGACAGGAUGGUUCAAAUGCAUAUGUGCUGCCGAAGCG
This is a long non-coding RNA of Heterocephalus glaber (naked mole-rat), 527 nucleotides long. NCBI's taxonomy places the organism in Eukaryota, Metazoa, Chordata, Mammalia, Rodentia, Bathyergidae. The record is from Ensembl.